Molecule: ribosomal RNA, 442 nt
Filed under: uncultured bacterium
Lineage: Bacteria
Description: partial 16S ribosomal RNA
Rfam family: Bacterial small subunit ribosomal RNA
Source: RNAcentral
CCUACGGGAGGCAGCAGUGGGGAAUAUUGGGCAAUGGGCGCAAGCCUGACCCAGCAACGCCGCGUGAAGGAUGAAGGCUUUCGGGUUGUAAACUUCUUUUGUCAGGGAAGAGUAGAAGACGGUACCUGACGUAUAAGCCAUGGCUAACUACGUGCCAGCAGCCGCGGUAAUACGUAGGUGGCAGGCGUUGUCCGGAUUUACUGGGUGUAAAGGGCGUGUAGCCGGGUUGACAAGUCAGAUGGGAAAUCCUGCGGCUUAACCGCAGAACUGCAUUUGAAACUGUGGAUCUUGAGUACUGGAGAGGCAGACGGAAUUCGUAGUGUAGCGGUGAAAUGCGUAGAUAUUAGGAGGAACACCAGUGGCGAAGGCGGUCUGCUGGACAGCAACUGACGGUGAGGCGCGAAAGCGUGGGGAGCAAACAGGAUUAGAUACCCGGGUAGUC